RNAcentral lists this long non-coding RNA (6434 nucleotides) under Chlamydomonas reinhardtii. RNAcentral's name for it is "long non-coding RNA (CREI_LNC000636)". Lineage: Eukaryota; Viridiplantae; Chlorophyta; Chlorophyceae; Chlamydomonadales; Chlamydomonadaceae. The record is from RNAcentral.
AGAAUUCCGGCGCUGCUGACCAGCUCCAGGCUCGCUACUCGUAUUGCGUCGUCCAAGUCCUCGGCACGGGCUUCAUCUGCUGCAGCGUUCUCGCGCAGGUUAAGAAAAUAUUGCAGUCCUUGCUUGAUGCGGCUCUCAAGCGUCGCAGGGACUCGAGCCCGUCUAGGUGGCAUGCUGUAUGACAACCAGAACUAUCGUCAGGGCUGCGAGUGCGACAUCGAGUAUUUGGCGACUUCAGAACAGUUUUACGUGCGCUGCGGCUUUGUGCGGCUUCAACCAGCAAUAACCUUAUGUGAAAUGCUUGGGCUCACGACAACUGUGCAAGCUAUAAUGAAAGUCCGGACUACUGCAGUACUGGAGUUGACAUAAUGUCGGGGCAUGCCGAGUGGACCGCGCCGCCGCCAUGCUUUGCCAUAUAUGCCAGUCGCCUUACACCCCAGUAAGCCCCCCUCCAAACCCUGUUCCUGCGACCAAGUGAUCACCCAGCGCAUUCCAAGUGCAAACCCAUGUCCCCAUCAACAGCGCCGCCGCCUGUUAGCAAGUCGCCCCUGCCCCUCCCCGGGUUCCUGCCGUUUACUGUCCCGCCUCCUCCUCACCACCUGCGCCGCCCCAGCCCCUUCAGCCUGCUACCCCUGCCCAGCCGCCCCUGUUGUGACCACGACACGGGCACCGGGCGGCUGCGGGGUCUAUCCUAGCCUAUCAGGAUGUCAAAGUCGAGUGACACCCGCGUGAGAGACCGCACUAAGUCGGCGUAGCAGGGUGUAGCGCGCAAGACAGGGUUGAUGGUACUGUGGUGCCAUGGCUCCAUUUUAUCGUAAGUGCGGUUCACGAGCACAGGCAGUGGUGGUAGCGGCGGUGUGUGGGGGGCUCCUGCGUGCUGGACGGGGGCGGGGGGGCGGUAGGUGCACUCUUGGACCUUCGUCGGCUUCGUGCAUAAGGGAAGAGCCGUUCCGUCCGGUGCGCAGCGUGCGCAGCGUGCGCACCAUAGUUGAUUGGAGUAGCUAUGGCAUUGGCACGAUGCCAGCGUGGGACAAGGUGGGAUGCCGCGGUUGCCGCCAUCCCGAAUGUUUACAGUACCGGUAACUGCCUAGUGCCCAUCAAAUCCGAGGCUGUGAUCUCGGCUGCGAUCGAUUUUACCUGGCUGCUCAGGCGAGGCUGCCGUUGCACGAGGAGAUGAAGAGGUGUGCACCUGGUGCUGCCUGGCGCAACUGUGCAAGCUACAUGAAAUGUUACUAAUGGUGCUGUAAUCAGCUGCAUGGCUCAUUCAAACCUUCUUUGUACCCCAAGCAGUGGCACGACACAAGGACUGCCGACAACGUUUCCUCAACAAUCGAUACAGCUUCCGGAGGUCGUGGCCUAAGUCAGCACGAAUCCGGUCCCGCUGCUCACGUCACUACGGUAAGUACCGAAUGCAUCCCUGCUGCAGGGGGGGGUAGGAACAAACUUUUUUGACCCCAUGCCACAAAACCUCCCGGACCCCCCGACCGACCGACCGACCGACCCCCCCUGCCGUACGACCCCCCAAAACCCCCUCAGAACCCCUUAGUUUUUUGUCAGGUUGGUGCCAAUUGACUGCUCUCGGUGAGCUCUAUCGCUAUGUUUGAUGAUCCGCCUUGGGAACACACUUUGACCGACCGAUAUGUGGACAUGUGGCCCGGCUGCCGACAAGUAUCCUGAUAGACUGGCCUGCUAUGCAACGGCUUACUUCAAUGUUACUUGAUGAUACGAAAUGUGCUGACAUGUUCAUCCAUGCAAAACCCGGCCGGCACCGGCCUGUCCCUGACCAGUUCCCCAGGCAUCUCCCGAAAUGCCGACAUGCCGCUCCCCAAACUGCCCCAAACUAUGCACGUGUGCUGAGUCUGGGGUAUACCUACGCACGCAUCGUUGAGCUGCACCCAUUGCGCCGCGUGCUGCAGGACAGAAGCGCUAGGAACAAAACUUGGCACAAACCUGUGCAAAACCUCUUGGGACCCCCGACCGACCGACCGACCGGCCACUUUGAGGGCUCAUAACUUUGCACCCAGAAACCCAUUUUCGAUUUUGAAAGCGGAUUCGUGAUUUUCUCGUUGAGCUCUAUCCAUUUGAGGCAUGGGGUCUGUUUCGGAAGAUUCUACCCCCCCCCUGCCUGCUGUAAUGACCUGAUAUCCUGAACCCGCGUCGUCGCAAUGGUAUCGCACCUUCAUGCCCGACCACAAACCCAGAAGCCGCAGCCGGUGUGGCCAAGGGGGUAGCCCUUCAACCAGCUCAACAACCACUAAAGUUAUCACUUCAGCGCGCCGGAGCCUUCCGUGCCUCUCCUGAAACCCUUUCAUACUGCAGCUUACCUCACACCACACGGUAUGCCUUACACAGGGCUCCAUCGCUCGCAAUCCAAGUGCCCAUGGCACCAUGGCUGCCGUAUGUACAGGGAAUAGCACGGGGGUAUACUCAGGUGGGGCAAUGUCGGGAUGGGAUCGGGCUACGGCUACCCUCACAUACUGUUAUGGCUGUCCCCAAUUGUUGUCACAACGCCACAAACAUAUGCCACAUGUCACCAGUGCCAGUAUUUGAUACCGUAUCUGCGUCACCUGUACUCGUUAUCUGACGCGCGCAAACUUUGGAGUCUGGGUACCUCCCGGCCUGCAUGACGUGACCCGCAGCUCCGCGAUCUGUGUCACAUGUCUCCCUGCCACAUUCCCUGCCCUACCUACGGCCACCACAUAGCCUGCCUACCUAUACCAUGUCACGCGCUACGGUUAUGCGGGUGUUGCAGUUCGUCAGUUCAUGCCUUCUUCAGCCCUGCCUUCGCUGCCUCUGCUGACCCUGCCGCCGCCGCGGCGGCUCCACUGCAGGUGCCAGAGUGCCGCUCACGCCAGUCCGCAAGCUGGCAAGCGCCGCAGCAAUACGUGGCAGCACGGCACCGCACACAUGUCUUGCCACUGCGGGGCGCAAUCAACGCGCUAAAGCCGUCCAGCGAGCAGCAGCGCGGGUUGCAGCAUAGCUUGGGCUCAAACACCGGCCCACCGCUCCUGCUACCCUGCCCACCACCGCUAGUGGUAUUGCUGCUGCUGCCACUGCGACCACCACUGCCGUCCCCGCCGCCGCAGGCUGCUGCGGGCUCACCCGUAGCAGCAGCUGCCGUUGCAGCCGCCGCCUCUGCGACCAUCAGGCCAUGCAGCCCCGCCUGUACCUGGCCUUGAGACAGCAGCCACAGGUACCGCGGCCGAACGGUGCUAACCCACUUCGCACCCAACCUAUCCGCCGUGGCGCUAGCGUGCGACGCGCCGCCCUCCCUGCUGCCAAGCCCUUGCACCCGUAUGCCGCUUCCCCCGGCGCCGGCGCCUCCACACUCGAUUAACAACUCCUCUCUUACAACCUCAGUGACUGCAUCCAGGUAAUCCACCACGUCCUGCCGCCCGUGCGCCGCCGCCAGCUGCUGCACCGGCAGCGGCGUCAAGCACUGCAGCAUCAGCUCGGGCGGUGGCGGCUGCUGCUGGGCUGUGCUGUCGUCAAGGCUGCUCGUACUGCUGCCCGCCCCGCCAUCCGCCUGCUGCCCAGCUUGCAGUCCUCCAUCCGUCCGCUGCCGCUGCUGCUGUUGUUCGGCCGCCCGUAUCGCUCGUGCACGUAUCGUGACACGCACCGCCCCCGCAAAGCGUGUCCAGUAGGAUUGCAACAGGUCCAACACGGCUGCCUGCUGCUGCGGUUCACAGUGCUCAGGCAGCACACCUCCUGCGUCUAUUGCCAGCACGUGCACAAUCUGGUGCACGCUCACAGCAAGCUGGCCAGCCAGCGUCACUCCCUCCCACCACGCCCCGUCCGGCCGCGGGCUCCAUGCCUGCUCCUCAGCUCCUCCGCUCGCAGUGACGUCGUCUUCCGCCCUUCGGCGCUCCUCGCGCCAGAGCACAUCCAUCAGCAGGUGCCCCACCAGGAGCGCCUGCGGCAGCCUCCGCCCGGCGCCCGCCGCACAGCGCAACAACACCUCCGCCGUUUCUUCUGCCAGCAUGGGCAGCCACUGGUACACCGCGAAGCUCGUGAGCAGCUGCUGCUGCCGGUCCGCCGUGGAGCCGGCAGCUGGCAGGCCGCCCGCCGCCGCCAUCCAGGCGAUGGAACACGUGGAGGGCUUGACACUGCCGUCCUUCGACUCCACUACCUGCUCCAGCACCGAGUUGAGGUGCAGAGGGGUGGGAACUGCGGCCGUGGCCGUAGCAUCGGUGGCUGCUGCCUGCUGCCCCUCCCGCUGCUGCUGUGCUCUCUCGUGCAGCGCCCGCAAGUCCGCGACCUGCUCCAGCAUUGAAGACAGGUAGGCACACAGGUAGCCCCAGGCGCCGCACUCCACAGUCAUUUGCAUGCCAGGCUGGGAGGCACUCCUUAUUACAUCGAGUGAGCUGUCACUCCCUCGUACAAGCCGAGCUGUGGCGCCCAGCGUGGCAAUCAGCGACACCGCCUGCUGCAAGGGACCGCGAGCCAGCACCGCCGGCCACACGCCCGAGUAUCGCAGCACGCAGUUCACGACGUACAGCAGCUUGCUUGCGCUGUCGGCCUGCUGCCAGGCCUGUGGCGCGCGAAGGCACCGCUCCACCGCUGGCAACAGUCCCGCGUCCAGCGCGCAGCGGAGGCUGAAGCUGGGGUCCCUUCCACGCGCCAGGCUGGCUGCUGCCUUCGCUGCUGUCGCCGCCUCCGCGCCCUGCAUCUCCGCCGCGGUUUCCAGCGGCCAGUCCACACUUGCCGCAGCCACGGAAGCUGCAUCCGUCACCCCAGCAGCCCACGCGGCCGGCGGCGGCGCACUCAGCUGCAGCCGCAGCAGCUCCCCUGCGUCCUGCGCAAGCCUGUACCCCAGAGUGAGCAUGGGCGGGUCCUGCGCCAGCAGCCGCCACCAGCCCGGUAGCAGCACCGCUGCCUGCCGCGGCCGCAGCUCCGUCAGCAGCCGGGCCAUUACUGGAGCGACCAAGAACUUGUUGCGCAUGCCCCUGUCGCUGUCACAUGCCAGGCCACACCACAACUCCAUAAGCAGGCGGUACGCGUGUGCGGCACUGUACGAAGCUGGUGCUGGUGCUGCAGCUGGCCCCUCCGCUGCUGCUGACCCCGCUGCCGAUGGCCCCGCCAACGGUUGCUGCGGCUGCGGCUGCCUGUGCGGCAGGCGGUCGUAGCCCAGGGGCGGCUGGGCGAUGGCCAGGUCGCAGGGGCCGCUGACCGUCACCUGCAAGACGAUGACACAUGCCUGCAAGGCGGCGAAACGGGAAGGCAAGGUCAAUCCAUAGCCGUGGAGCGGCCUCAUGCCACUUCAUGCCUUCCCGUCAGCCCCAUCAGGCAUGCGGCUCAAGCACUGGCACAAUGCACGCACGCGCCCUUACGUAAACGCACCAUGACUGACAGAUCCGGGCUUGACAAAGUGACCUGUGGCAGCAGCUGCAGCGGCCGUAUCAGCUCUGACGGCAGCCCGUGCCGCAGCUGCGACGCAGUUGGUACCAAGCCCUGCUGAUCGCCGCCAUCCGCGGCCCCCUCCUGCUGCUGUAGGGUCAUGGCUCCGCACAGGCCCGCCCAUCCCACCACGAGCUGCACGCAGCGACCCGCCAGCAGCGGCCGCACCUGCUCCAGCAGCAAGAGCGCCUCCACAUCGCUUACAGCAUCGCGGCAAAUGUCCUUUUCCCGGGGCUGUGGGCUCACAGAGAAAAUCUCCAUGUUCCCCGGCAGGAACAUGAGCGUGUGGGAGAAUGCGCUUGCUGCGGCCGACACGUUUUCCCAGCUUUCAGUUGGCGGCCCUCUCCCCGAAGCUGCUGCUAUUACUGCGGCUGCGCUGGGUGCGGGCUGAAUGGACUGGGCGGCGUGCAGCAGCGCCCGGGCGGCGUGCUCGAGCAGCUGAGUGUGCGCCAACGCCGAGAUCAGCUCCUGCCUCAGGCUGUUGUCCCGGCUGUUGUUUACACCUCGGGCGAUCGUGGAGAGGUUGUGCAGCAGACGAUAGAUGACGUCCCGCUUCAUGCGGUUCGCUCCAAAGUUGCGGCGGGUCGGCGCGUUCGUCCGCGCGCACAGCCUCGCGUACACGGCCAGCGUGUCCGCUCUUAGCAGGGCUCGGACCAGCCCGUCCCGCUGAUCGCAGCCUGGGUCACCCGACUGGCUACUGAGCAGCUCUUCCAGCUUGUUUACCGCCGAUUCAAACAGAAUGCAUGCCGGGCGGCUCAUAACGUCAACGGCGAGCGUGCGUGCUGCCCAUCCGUGUGCAGCCACGAUGCCGCUAAGAAUUUCGGCGCUGCUGACCAGCUCCAGGCUCGCUACUCGUAUUGCGUCGUCCAAGUCCUCGGCACGGGCUUCAUCUGCUGCAGCGUUCUCGCGCAGGUUAAGAAAAUAUUGCAGUCCUUGCUUGAUGCGGCUCUCAAGAGUCGCAGGGACUCGAGCCCGUCUAGGUGGCAUGCUGUAUGACAACCAGAACUAUCGUCAGGGCUGCGAGUGCGACAUCGAGU